CGCCUCCUGCUUCUCCCCACCCCACCCCACCCCCUCUCUCCUGGAAGCCUGGGGACAACCCAGCAUCAGCCCAGGCAGGAGAAGGAGGAGACUACUCAAAGAACACCCCACCCCUCCGUAUUUGUCUCUCCCCCUCCCCCGGGUAACCUACACUGAAACACACUGACGUGUGGAAGAAGAGGAGGAGGGGCCCUGGGACCAGGGAGAGGGAGGAGAGAUCAGGCAGGGGAGGGAUUAGCCAAUCCUACAAAAGUUUAGCAUUGCAGGACAGGAAUCUUGACCAAUUGGGAUUUAGAACCCCCCCUUUUCGCCCCGCCUACUCCUCCACGUCUAUCCAGUGUCUCCAGGAUAGCCAAAGAACCACCUCCCCGCACAGACACACACACACAAGACAUCCACACAUACAUACGUACAUAAACACACAUACAUGUCCCAAACCUAGAAGAAGGGAUGAAAAAUACGUGAUCCAUUGAGGAAGUGGGACACGGAAGAGGAAAGGAUUCAAACCCCCCAGGGAGUUGGUCGGAGGGUUAAGGGAGAGACGGGCGUGACAAUCUGGAGGGAGAGUAAAAGCCAACUAGGGGAUAAGAGGCGGGACUUCCUGCUUUGUCCACCUUCCUAGUCUUUUGUUUCGUAGCAACAGAGGGUGGGAGGUUGUGAGUGGCACUUGAGCCUAGGUUAGAGUGGAAAACGCUGCAGAAAUGCUUACUGAGGCAGUCAGGACACUUCUUGCUUUAGUCCUGGGUCUGAGGCGUUAGUUUUGUAGUGGUCAGUGUGAGGAAGAGAUGGAGCUGGAGUGGGACCCACAUCUGGGGAUACCAGCUGGGAUGAAGGACUGCUUCUGGGAAUGGAGGAAGAAAGGGAGAAAAGAACACUAUUCAGUUGACUUGCCCCCAGCCUACUUGAUGAAGUCACAAAAGAUAGUAGAUAAUGGAAAAUCAAACAAGAUAAGGCCUUAAACUAAGUUCUUUAAUUUCUGUAUGACAUUUAGGAGUUAUGAUGAAGUUCUUCCCAUCAAAAGUGAUAAAAUUAUAGAACUUUGAGCCAUUGACUGAUAAAAGAUUUGUCUCACUCCUUGUGAUAAUUUAAAAACCAAAACUUUCUCUAAGGAGUGACCACAUUAUUUUAAAGCAAAGAAUUCAGAAGACUGAAUUGGCUGAAUCUACUAUGAAGCAGAUUAAUAUUAUUCUUAGAAAAUACCCCUUUGCCCCCAAAAAACUAAAUUUGAAAAAAAAAUAUUAAAAGUCAGAUCUGAAGAGCCAAAGGUUCAUUCUCAGGCACUCUAGAUUCCUAAAGACAAUCAACUUUCCAAUACUUAAAUACCCUAGCC
This 1330-nucleotide long non-coding RNA is filed under the name Monodelphis domestica (gray short-tailed opossum). Its description in RNAcentral is "lncRNA (ENSMODG00000049489.1)". Lineage: Eukaryota; Metazoa; Chordata; Mammalia; Didelphimorphia; Didelphidae. The record is from RNAcentral.